AAACCGGAAGGGGUGGGCUUUGCGAAGAUGGCGGCGCUGGGGGUGCUGGAGUCAGACCUGCCAAGUGCCGUGACACUUCUGAAAAAUCUCCAGGAGCAAGUGAUGGCUGUAACUGCACAAGUGAAAUCACUGACACAAAAAGUUCAAGCUGGUGCCUAUCCUACAGAAAAGGUAAGAUGUACUCAAACAGUAAGCAUCCCCUGACUUAAUGUUCUCAGUAGUUCUUUCAUUGUAUGUGUAUUGUGUCUUAUAUAUCCUAAGUGCUCGAGCUUCAAACAUAAAUAUGAUCCAGUUUCUGUGCAGAAGUCUAGAGGGAAGAAGAAGCAAAGCAAUAGAUGUAAGUAUUAAUAGUAGCAGUCACAUUACAGAGUUAUGAGUCUCCAGCCAAAGAGAGUGAUUAAUUAACUGCCAGAAGAGCAGAGGGAUUCAGGACAGGCUUCCCAGAGGAGGUGAUAGGAUUUUGAGGAAUAAAUGGGAGGGACAGAAAGAAGGAACAUGUGCAAAGGCACAAAGGCCUGAAAGUAAUGGUGAUAAGGGAAAGGAGUAAGUCAUUUUUGUGAUAGGAUGUACUUUCUGUGUUAUGUGUGGUGGGGGUAGGAAAUAAGACUGGAAAAGUAGUCACUCUGAAGAUUACUGUAGGCCAACUGAGGAGUUACUUUCAGAUUUCAUCUAAUCUAAGACACUUAUUAAUUGGGACAUAUCACUUAUUGUAUAUAUUAAGAAAAAAUGACAGGCCGGGCAUGGUGGCUCAUGCCUGUAAUUCCAGCACUUCAGGAGGCUGAGGCUGGAGGAUCGCUUGAGCUCA
This 805-nucleotide small RNA is filed under the name Pan troglodytes (chimpanzee). RNAcentral describes it as "retained intron". Lineage: Eukaryota; Metazoa; Chordata; Mammalia; Primates; Hominidae. The record is from RNAcentral.